This 440-nucleotide ribosomal RNA is filed under the name uncultured bacterium. Its description in RNAcentral is "partial 16S ribosomal RNA". It matches the Rfam family "Bacterial small subunit ribosomal RNA", at positions 338 to 795 of the family's 1533-position model. The record is from RNAcentral.
CCUACGGGAGACAGCAGUGGGGAAUAUUGCACAAUGGGGGAAACCCUGAUGCAGCGAAGUCGCGUGAGUGAAGACGUAUUUCGGUAUGUAAAGCUCCAUCAGCAGGGAAGUAAAUGACGGUACCUGAUUAAGAAGCCCCGGCUAACUACGUGCCAGCAGCCGCGGUAACACGUAGGGGGCAAGCGUUAUCCGGAUUUACUGGGUGUAAAGGGAGCGUAGACGGCAGCACAAGUCUGGAGUGAAAUGCCGGGGCUUAACCCCGGAACUGCAUUUGAAACUGUGCAGCUAGAGUGCAGGAGAGGUAAGUGGAAUUCCUAGUGUAGCGGUGAAAUGCUUAGAUAUUACGAGGAACACCAGUGGCGAAGGCGGCUUACUGGACUGUAACUGACGUUGAUGCUCGAAAGCGUGGGGAGCAAACAGGAUUAGAUACCCCAGUAGUC